ACAUAACUGAUGCCUCCGCGUAUCGACUUUGUGCGCAUUUUAGCUAUUAUGUGGUUCUUUUAAUUAAAAUGAUUCUUUUUAAGAUUCAUCUAUUAAAAAUUUGCUUCGGCAUAAUUUUUUUUGAUGAUCUUGUUACUUUGAGUAAAUUAGAGUGUUCAAAGCAAACAGAUAUAGCAUUUGUGCGUUUGAAUACUACAGCAUGGAAUAACAAAAUUGAACAAGUCAGAAUUUUUUUGUUCUUUUUUCUUAUUUUGGCUUAGUUACGAUUAAUAGGAGUAGCUUGGGGGCAUUUGUAUUCAGAUGUCAGAGGUGAAAUUCUUAGAUUUUCUGGAGACAAACAACUGCGAAAGCAUUUGCCUAAAAUACUUCCAUUAAUCAAGAACGAAAGUUAAGGGAGUGAAGACGAUCAGAUACCGUCGUAAUCUUAACCAUAAACUAUGCCGACUAGGCUUUGGAUGAAAGAUUUUAAAAUAAGAGUUUUUCUUUUCUCUCCGGAGAUUAGAACUCUUAGAUUGCUUCCUUCAGUGCCUUAUGAGAAAUCAAAGUCUUUGGGUUCUGGGGCGAGUAUUCGCGCAAGCGAGAAAGUUAAAAGAAUUGACGGAAGGGCACCACCAGGCGUGGAGCUUGCGGCUUAAUUUGACUCAACACGGGAAAACUCACUAGUUUAAGACAAGAGUAGGAUUGACAGAUUAAUAGCUCUUUCUUGAUUUCUUGGAUGGUGAUGCAUGGCCGUUUUUAGUUCGUGAAUAUGAUUUGUCUGGUUAAUUCCGAUAACGAACGAGAUCUUAACCUGCUAAUUAGCGGCAAAUACGAUAUAUUCUUAUGUAGAAUUGAAUAUAGUGGAUUUGUUAGAUUUUGAAGAAAAUAUUGGAAUUACGUUAAAUGUGAUUCCUUUCCCUUUUCUACUUAAUUUACAUUUCCAUCUAUUUCUUUUUUGCGUAUGAAUGUAUUUGCUUGAUUGUAAAGCUUCUUAGAGGAACGAUGUGUG
Molecule: ribosomal RNA, 988 nt
Filed under: Plasmodium knowlesi
Lineage: Eukaryota; Apicomplexa; Aconoidasida; Haemosporida; Plasmodiidae
Description: SSU rRNA
Rfam family: Eukaryotic small subunit ribosomal RNA
Source: RNAcentral